RNAcentral lists this unclassified non-coding RNA (334 nucleotides) under soil metagenome. RNAcentral's name for it is "partial contains 5.8S ribosomal RNA, internal transcribed spacer 2, and large subunit ribosomal RNA". The stretch from base 1 to 120 matches the Rfam family "5.8S ribosomal RNA", at positions 35 to 154 of the family's 154-position model. The record is from RNAcentral.
GAUGAAGAACGUAGCGAAAUGCGAUAAGUAAUGUAAAUUGCAGAAUUCAGUGAAUCAUCGAAUCUUUGAACGCACAUUGCGCCCGCCAGUAUUCUGGCGAGCAUGCCUGUUCGAGCGUCAUUUCAACCAUCAAGCCCCAGGCUUGUGUUGGAGCCCUGCGGCUGCCGCAGCCUCCCAAAACCAGUGGCGGGCUCGCUAUCACACCGAGUGCAGUAGUUUACUCUUCGCUCAGGGCGUGUGGCGGGUGCUAGCCGUGAAACCCCAAACUUCUCAAGGUUGACCUCGGAUCAGGUAGGAAUACCCGCUGAACUUAAGCAUAUCAAUAAGCGGAGGA